GCAAGUCUAGGGGGUGUAGCAAUACAUCACCGGCGGACGGGUGCGUAACACGUGGGAAUAUACCUUUUGGUUCGGAACAACGCAGGGAAACUUGCGCUAAUACCGAAUGUGCCCUUGCGGGGAAAGAUUUAUCGCCAAAGGAUUAGCCCGCGUCCGAUUAGCUAGUUGGUGAGGUAACGGCUCACCAAGGCUCCGAUCGGUAGCUGUUCUGAGAGGAAGAUCAGCCACACUGGGACUGAGACACGGCCCAGACUCCUACGGGAGGCAGCAGUUGGGAAUCUUGGACAAUGGGGGAAACCCUGAUCCAGCCAUGCCGCGUGAGUGAUGAAGGCCUUCGGGUUGUAAAACUCUUUCGACGGGGACGAUAAUGACGGUACCCGUAGAAGAAGCUCCGGCUAACUUCGUGCCAGCAGCCGCGGUAAUACGAAGGGGGCUAGCGUUGUUCGGAAUUACUGGGCGUAAAGCGCGCGCAGGCGGUUUUUCAAGUCAGUGGUGAAAGCCCGGAGCUCAACUCCGGAACUGCCAUUGAAACUGUGAAACUUGAGGAUGAGAGAGGUGAGUGGAAUUCCCAGUGUAGAGGUGAAAUUCGUAGAUUUUGGGAAGAACACCGGUGGCGAAGGCGGCUCACUGGCUCAUUUCUGACGCUCAGGCGCGACAGCGUGGGGAUCAAACAGGAUUAGAUACCCUGGUAGUCCACGCCGUAAACGAUGAAUGCUAGCCGUUGGGCAGCUUGCUGUUCAGUGGCGCAGCUAACGCAUUAAGCAU
This 765-nucleotide ribosomal RNA is filed under the name uncultured Alphaproteobacteria bacterium. RNAcentral's name for it is "bacterial SSU rRNA". It matches the Rfam family "Bacterial small subunit ribosomal RNA", at positions 57 to 867 of the family's 1533-position model. Lineage: Bacteria; Pseudomonadati; Pseudomonadota; Alphaproteobacteria. The record is from RNAcentral.